GUAGGUGGCAAGCGUUGUCCGGAAUUAUUGGGCGUAAAGCGCGCGCAGGCGGUUCUUUAAGUCUGAUGUGAAAGCCCACGGCUCAACCGUGGAGGGUCAUUGGAAACUGGAAAACUUGAGUACAGAAGAGGAAAGCGGAAUUCCACGUGUAGCGGUGAAAUGCGUAGAGAUGUGGAGGAACACCAGUGGCGAAGGCGGCUUUCUGGUCUGUAACUGACGCUGAGGCGCGAAAGCGUGGGGAGCAAACAGGGAUUAGAUACCCUGGUAGUCCACGCCGUAAACGAUGAGUGCUAAGUGUUAGGGGGUUUCCGCCCCCUUAGUGCUGCAGCUAACGCAUUAAGCACUCCGCCUGGGGAGUACGGCCGCAAGGCUG
This 373-nucleotide ribosomal RNA is filed under the name uncultured organism. RNAcentral describes it as "partial 16S ribosomal RNA". It matches the Rfam family "Bacterial small subunit ribosomal RNA", at positions 527 to 896 of the family's 1533-position model. The record is from RNAcentral.